RNAcentral lists this ribosomal RNA (451 nucleotides) under uncultured bacterium. Its description in RNAcentral is "partial 16S ribosomal RNA". It matches the Rfam family "Bacterial small subunit ribosomal RNA", at positions 28 to 507 of the family's 1533-position model. The record is from RNAcentral.
GAUGAAUGCUGGCGGCGUGCCUAACACAUGCAAGUCGAGCGGCAGCGAGGGGCGCUUGCACCCUGUUGGCGAGCGGCGCAGGGCUGAGUCACGCGUAGGAAUUUGCCCCAACGUGAGGAAUAACUGCCCGAACGGGGGGCUAAUGCCGCAUAUGGUCUUCGGAGUAAAGGAUUUAUCCGCUUUGGGAGACGGCUGCGUUGGAUUAGGUGGUUGGUAGGGUAAUGGCAUGCCAAGCCGACGAUCCAUAGCUGGUCUGAGAGGCUGAUCAGCCAGACUGGAACUGAGGCACGGACCACACUCCUACGCGAAGCAGCAGUGAGUAAUCUACCACAAUGGGCGAUAGCGUGAUGGAGCAACGCCGCGUGAAGGAUGAAGGCCUUUGGGUUGUAAACUUCUUUUAUGAGUGAAGAAUAUGACGGUAACUCAUAAAUAAGCACCGGCUAACUACGUG